RNAcentral lists this ribosomal RNA (498 nucleotides) under uncultured bacterium. RNAcentral's name for it is "partial 16S ribosomal RNA". It matches the Rfam family "Bacterial small subunit ribosomal RNA", at positions 28 to 507 of the family's 1533-position model. The record is from RNAcentral.
GACGAACGCUGGCGGCGUGCCUAAUACAUGCAAGUCGAGCGGACGAAUCGAAAGCUUGCUUUUGAUUCGUUAGCGGCGGACGGGUGAGUAACACGUGGGCAACCUGCCCUGUAGACGGGGAUAACACCGAGAAAUCGGUGCUAAUACCGGAUAACACGAAAUGUCGCAUGACGUUUCGUUGAAAGACGGCGCAAGCUGUCGCUACAGGAUGGGCCCGCGGCGCAUUAGCUAGUUGGUGAGGUAACGGCUCACCAAGGCGACGAUGCGUAGCCGACCUGAGAGGGUGAUCGGCCACACUGGGACUGAGACACGGCCCAGACUCCUACGGGAGGCAGCAGUAGGGAAUCUUCCGCAAUGGACGAAAGUCUGACGGAGCAACGCCGCGUGAGCGAAGAAGGCCUUCGGGUCGUAAAGCUCUGCUGUUAGGGAAGAACAAGUAACGCAGUAACUGGCGUUACCGUGACGGUACCUAACGAGAAAGCCACGGCUAACUACGUG